UCCGUAGGGUGCAAGCGUUGUCCGGAAUUAUUGGGCGUAAAGAGCUCGUAGGCGGUUUGUCGCGUCUGCUGUGAAAACCCGAGGCUCAACUUCGGGCCUGCAGUGGGUACGGGCAGACUAGAGUGCGGUAGGGGAGAUUGGAAUUCCUGGUGUAGCGGUGAAAUGCGCAGAUAUCAGGAAGAACACCAAUGGCGAAAGCAGCUCUCUGGGACGGUACUGACGCUGAGACGCGAAAGCGUGGGGAGCGAACAGG
This 253-nucleotide ribosomal RNA is filed under the name uncultured bacterium. Its description in RNAcentral is "partial 16S ribosomal RNA". It matches the Rfam family "Bacterial small subunit ribosomal RNA", at positions 524 to 776 of the family's 1533-position model. The record is from RNAcentral.